UCUGUCUGUGAUGUCAAGGUUUCUAUUAGG
This 30-nucleotide non-coding RNA is filed under the name Mus musculus (house mouse). The record is from RNAcentral. Lineage: Eukaryota; Metazoa; Chordata; Mammalia; Rodentia; Muridae.